CCAGAGAUUUCUCCUCACACCUCUCUUCUACUCUACUCUUCGGCCUUGGAAUGCUGUCCCUAAAUAACUGUGUGACCCUCUAAUAGUCUGUCUACUGAGGCCAGAUUCAGUGUUGUAACACCAGCUGACCUUACUCUAUAGAACUCACCUUUGUCUUGAACUCCUCAUCUUCCUGCUUCUACCCACCCAGAGAUGCCAUUAUAGGGCUUUUCGAAUCAGCAGUGAUAAAAAACGGAGAGGGAGAGGGAGAAGGAGAGAAAAAGAGAGUGGGCGAGGAUGGUCGCAUCUAAAACCCGGACACUUGAAAGGCACUGACAUCCACUAGCCCUUCUAGGACCCUCAGGAGGAGGAGGAUAUUUGUUCAUAGUGACUUUUUGUGUAGAAAUGUCCAUGGGCAAGCUGGAGGGGAUAAGGGUGUGGAGAGAAAUCCAGUAUGUAAAAGAAAGAAGAAAGAACAGCGAAGAAUGGCUUUGUGCCUUCUGUCAGUGUUUGCCUUAAAACAAUGUUUUAUAAAACAUUAAGACGGAAUUGUGGAGCAGCUAUGAACAUCUGGCUGAGUUUCAGCUGUGUAUGGUUGGUGCUUAUUUUAAGAGUUGAAGAAGAAGAAGAAGAACAUUUCCAACAUUCAGGGAUUUGAGUUUACUGUGGGUUUGGUUUCUUCCAGUCACACAUUGAGAUUUCUCUCUCUGUCUCCCUGUGUCUGUCUGUCUGUCUGUCUC
Mesocricetus auratus (golden hamster) is the source of this 719-nucleotide long non-coding RNA. RefSeq lists it as uncharacterized. The transcript is spliced from 5 exons. Lineage: Eukaryota; Metazoa; Chordata; Mammalia; Rodentia; Cricetidae. The record is from RefSeq and is a predicted model, not a curated record.